Molecule: non-coding RNA, 25 nt
Filed under: Cricetulus griseus (Chinese hamster)
Lineage: Eukaryota; Metazoa; Chordata; Mammalia; Rodentia; Cricetidae
Also listed under: 1 other name
Source: RNAcentral
CAGUGGUGACAAUGAGACCUGUAAC